This 299-nucleotide small nuclear RNA is filed under the name Erinaceus europaeus (western European hedgehog). RNAcentral's name for it is "7SK RNA". It matches the Rfam family "7SK RNA". Rfam says of the family: 7SK was discovered as an abundant small nuclear RNA in the mid-70s but a possible function has only recently been suggested. The record is from Rfam by way of RNAcentral. Lineage: Eukaryota; Metazoa; Chordata; Mammalia; Eulipotyphla; Erinaceidae.
GGAUAUGAGGGCUAUAUGGCUGCGACAUCUGUCACCCCAUUGAUCGCCAGGGUUGAUUCAGCUGAUCUGGCUGGCUAGGCGGGUGUCCCCUUCCUCCCUCACCACUCCAUGUGCGUCCCUCCCGAAGCUGCAGGCUCAGUUGAAGAGGACGGCCUUCCCUGAAUAGAGCCAAACCCGUCUUUGGCCGAGGGUGUAGGAGUAGCUGCGCUCCCCUGCUAGAACCUCCAGACAAGCUCUCAAGGUCCAUACUAGGUUUUCAGGCACAGUACAGCCACACCUGUCACUCAUGGAGAACCGUC